AUGAUUCCAUGGCUGAAUUUGGUGCCCUUGUUAGCGCUCAUUGAAGGAGUCCGAUCUCAAGUCCAGUUGGUGGAGUCUGGAGGGGAUGUGAGAAGACCUGGGGAAUCCCUCCGUCUCUCCUGCCAGGCCUCUGGAUUCACCUUCAGCAGCUCUUACAUGAAUUGGGUGAGACAGGCUCCAGGGAAAGGACUGGAGUGGGUGUCCCGCAUAAAUGCAGGCUCAUCUCCUAAGACUUACUACCCAGACAAAGUCAAGGGACGCUUCACAAUCUCCAGGGAUGAUUCUCCCAGACAGCUGUAUCUGCAAAUGAACAGCCUCAAACUAGAGGAUUCUGCAGUUUAUUACUGUGCAAGACACACAGUGAGAGGAAGUGAAGCAAAAACUAUUUUUUUCCUCUGA
Non-coding RNA from Thamnophis elegans (Western terrestrial garter snake), 399 nucleotides. NCBI's taxonomy places the organism in Eukaryota, Metazoa, Chordata, Lepidosauria, Squamata, Natricidae. The record is from the annotation of a RefSeq genome assembly.